RNAcentral lists this ribosomal RNA (373 nucleotides) under uncultured bacterium. RNAcentral describes it as "bacterial SSU rRNA". It matches the Rfam family "Bacterial small subunit ribosomal RNA", at positions 527 to 898 of the family's 1533-position model. The record is from RNAcentral.
GGGGGGGGCAAGCGUUGUUCGGAAUUACUGGGCGUAAAGGGCGCGUAGGCGGUUCGCUAAGUCGGAUGUGAAAACUCUGGGCUCAACCCAGAGCCUGCAUCCGAAACUGGCGGGCUAGAGUUCUGGAGGGGGUAGCGGAAUUCCUGGUGUAGCGGUGAAAUGCGUAGAUAUCAGGAGGAACACCGGUGGCGAAGGCGGCUACCUGGACAGAAACUGACGCUGAGGCGCGAAAGCUAGGGGAGCAAACAGGAUUAGAUACCCUGGUAGUCCUAGCCCUAAACGAUGGAUACUUGGUGUGACGGGGAUUGAAUCCCGUCGUGCCGAAGCUAACGCAUUAAGUAUCCCGCCUGGGGAGUACGGUCGCAAGGCUGAA